UACGGAAGGAGCUAGCGUUGUUCGGAAUUACUGGGCGUAAAGCGCGCGUAGGCGGCUUUGUAAGUUAGAGGUGAAAGCCCGGGGCUCAACCCCGGAAUUGCCUUUAAGACUGCAUCGCUUGAAUCCGGGAGAGGUGAGUGGAAUUCCGAGUGUAGAGGUGAAAUUCGUAGAUAUUCGGAAGAACACCAGUGGCGAAGGCGGCUCACUGGACCGGCAUUGACGCUGAGGUGCGAAAGCGUGGGGAGCAAACAGG
RNAcentral lists this ribosomal RNA (253 nucleotides) under uncultured bacterium. Its description in RNAcentral is "partial 16S ribosomal RNA". It matches the Rfam family "Bacterial small subunit ribosomal RNA", at positions 524 to 776 of the family's 1533-position model. The record is from RNAcentral.